UUAAGCGACUAAGCGUACACGGUGGAUGCCCUGGCAGUCAGAGGCGAUGAAGGACGUGCUAAUCUGCGAAAAGCGUCGGUAAGGUGAUAUGAACCGUUACAGCCGGCGAUGUCCGAAUGGGGAAACCCAGUGCAAUUCGUUGCACUAUCGUUAACUGAAUACAUAGGUUAACGAGGCGAACCGGGGGAACUGAAACAUCUAAGUACCCCGAGGAAAAGAAAUCAACCGAGAUUCCCCCAGUAGCGGCGAGCGAACGGGGAGCAGCCCAGAGUCUGAAUCAGCUUGUGUGUUAGUGGAACGGUCUGGAAAGUCCGACGGUACAGGGUGAUAGUCCCGUACACCAAAAUGCACAGGCUGUGAACUCGAAGAGUAGGGCGGGACACGUGGUAUCCUGUCUGAAUAUGGGGGGACCAUCCUCCAAGGCUAAAUACUCCUGACUGACCGAUAGUGAACCAGUACCGUGAGGGAAAGGCGAAAAGAACCCCGGCGAGGGGAGUGAAAAAGAACCUGAAACCGUGUACGUACAAGCAGUGGGAGCACCUUCGGGUGUGACUGCGUACCUUUUGUAUAAUGGGUCAGCGACUUAUAUUCUGUAGCAAGGUUAACCGUAUAGGGGAGCCGCAGGGAAACCGAGUCUUAACUGGGCGUUAAGUUGCAGGGUAUAGACCCGAAACCCGGUGAUCUAGCCAUGGGCAGGUUGAAGGUUGGGUAACACUAACUGGAGGACCGAACCGACUAAUGUUGAAAAAUUAGCGGAUGACUUGUGGCUGGGGGUGAAAGGCCAAUCAAACCGGGAGAUAGCUGGUUCUCCCCGAAAGCUAUUUAGGUAGCGCCUCGUGAACUCAUCUUCGGGGGUAGAGCACUGUUUCGGCUAGGGGGUCAUCCCGACUUACCAACCCGAUGCAAACUACGAAUACCGAAGAAUGUUAUCACGGGAGACACACGGCGGGUGCUAACGUCCGUCGUGAAGAGGGAAACAACCCAGACCGCCAGCUAAGGUCCCAAAGUCAUGGUUAAGUGGGAAACGAUGUGGGAAGGCACAGACAGCCAGGAUGUUGGCUUAGAAGCAGCCAUCAUUUAAAGAAAGCGUAAUAGCUCACUGGUCGAGUCGGCCUGCGCGGAAGAUGUAACGGGGCUAAACCAUGCACCGAAGCUGCGGCAGCGACACUAUGUGUUGUUGGGUAGGGGAGCGUUCUGUAAGCCUGCGAAGGUGUGCUGUGAGGCAUGCUGGAGGUAUCAGAAGUGCGAAUGCUGACAUAAGUAACGAUAAAGCGGGUGAAAAGCCCGCUCGCCGGAAGACCAAGGGUUCCUGUCCAACGUUAAUCGGGGCAGGGUGAGUCGACCCCUAAGGCGAGGCCGAAAGGCGUAGUCGAUGGGAAACAGGUUAAUAUUCCUGUACUUGGUGUUACUGCGAAGGGGGGACGGAGAAGGCUAUGUUAGCCGGGCGACGGUUGUCCCGGUUUAAGCAUGUAGGCUGGUUAUCCAGGCAAAUCCGGAUAAUCAAGGCUGAGGUGUGAUGACGAGGCACUACGGUGCUGAAGUAACAAAUGCCCUGCUUCCAGGAAAAGCCUCUAAGCAUCAGGUAACAUCAAAUCGUACCCCAAACCGACACAGGUGGUCAGGUAGAGAAUACCAAGGCGCUUGAGAGAACUCGGGUGAAGGAACUAGGCAAAAUGGUGCCGUAACUUCGGGAGAAGGCACGCUGGUGUGUAGGUGAAGCCCCUGCGGGUGGAGCUGAGACCAGUCGAAGAUACCAGCUGGCUGCAACUGUUUAUUAAAAACACAGCACUGUGCAAACACGAAAGUGGACGUAUACGGUGUGACGCCUGCCCGGUGCCGGAAGGUUAAUUGAUGGGGUUAUCCGUAAGGAGAAGCUCUUGAUCGAAGCCCCGGUAAACGGCGGCCGUAACUAUAACGGUCCUAAGGUAGCGAAAUUCCUUGUCGGGUAAGUUCCGACCUGCACGAAUGGCGUAAUGAUGGCCAGGCUGUCUCCACCCGAGACUCAGUGAAAUUGAACUCGCUGUGAAGAUGCAGUGUACCCGCGGCAAGACGGAAAGACCCCGUGAACCUUUACUAUAGCUUGACACUGAACAUUGAGCCUUGAUGUGUAGGAUAGGUGGGAGGCUUUGAAGCGUGGACGCCAGUCUGCGUGGAGCCAACCUUGAAAUACCACCCUUUAAUGUUUGAUGUUCUAACGUUGGCCCCUUACCGGGGUUGCGGACAGUGUCUGGUGGGUAGUUUGACUGGGGCGGUCUCCUCCCAAAGCGUAACGGAGGAGCACGAAGGUUAGCUAAUCCUGGUCGGACAUCAGGAGGUUAGUGCAAUGGCAUAAGCUAGCUUGACUGCGAGCGUGACGGCGCGAGCAGGUGCGAAAGCAGGUCAUAGUGAUCCGGUGGUUCUGAAUGGAAGGGCCAUCGCUCAACGGAUAAAAGGUACUCCGGGGAUAACAGGCUGAUACCGCCCAAGAGUUCAUAUCGACGGCGGUGUUUGGCACCUCGAUGUCGGCUCAUCACAUCCUGGGGCUGAAGUAGGUCCCAAGGGUAUGGCUGUUCGCCAUUUAAAGUGGUACGCGAGCUGGGUUUAGAACGUCGUGAGACAGUUCGGUCCCUAUCUGCCGUGGGCGCUGGAGAAUUGAGGGGGGCUGCUCCUAGUACGAGAGGACCGGAGUGGACGCAUCACUGGUGUUCGGGUUGUCAUGCCAAUGGCACUGCCCGGUAGCUAAAUGCGGAAGAGAUAAGUGCUGAAAGCAUCUAAGCACGAAACUUGCCCCGAGAUGAGUUCUCCCUGAGACUAUAAGUCUCCUGAAGGAACGUUGAAGACGACGACGUUGAUAGGCCGGGUGUGUAAGCGCAGCGAUGCGUUGAGCUAACCGGUACUAAUGAACCGUGAGGCUUAACCUU
This 2900-nucleotide ribosomal RNA is filed under the name Klebsiella pneumoniae. RNAcentral's name for it is "bacterial LSU rRNA". It matches the Rfam family "Bacterial large subunit ribosomal RNA". The record is from RNAcentral. Lineage: Bacteria; Pseudomonadati; Pseudomonadota; Gammaproteobacteria; Enterobacterales; Enterobacteriaceae.